Molecule: ribosomal RNA, 584 nt
Filed under: Saccharomyces cerevisiae (brewer's yeast)
Lineage: Eukaryota; Fungi; Ascomycota; Saccharomycetes; Saccharomycetales; Saccharomycetaceae
Description: partial large subunit ribosomal RNA
Rfam family: Eukaryotic large subunit ribosomal RNA
Source: RNAcentral
UUUGACUUUAGUAACGGCGAGUGAAGCGGCAAAAGCUCAAAUUUGAAAUCUGGUACCUUCGGUGCCCGAGUUGUAAUUUGGAGAGGGCAACUUUGGGGCCGUUCCUUGUCUAUGUUCCUUGGAACAGGACGUCAUAGAGGGUGAGAAUCCCGUGUGGCGAGGAGUGCGGUUCUUUGUAAAGUGCCUUCGAAGAGUCGAGUUGUUUGGGAAUGCAGCUCUAAGUGGGUGGUAAAUUCCAUCUAAAGCUAAAUAUUGGCGAGAGACCGAUAGCGAACAAGUACAGUGAUGGAAAGAUGAAAAGAACUUUGAAAAGAGAGUGAAAAAGUACGUGAAAUUGUUGAAAGGGAAGGGCAUUUGAUCAGACAUGGUGUUUUGUGCCCUCUGCUCCUUGUGGGUAGGGGAAUCUCGCAUUUCACUGGGCCAGCAUCAGUUUUGGUGGCAGGAUAAAUCCAUAGGAAUGUAGCUUGCCUCGGUAAGUAUUAUAGCCUGUGGGAAUACUGCCAGCUGGGACUGAGGACUGCGACGUAAGUCAAGGAUGCUGGCAUAAUGGUUAUAUGCCGCCCGUCUUGAACCACACGAACACA